UACGUAGGGGGCAAGCGUUGUCCGGAAUCAUUGGGCGUAAAGAGCGUGUAGGCGGCUCGGUAAGUCCGCUCUGAAAGCCCGGGGCUCAACCCCGGGAGGCGGGCGGAUACUGUCGGGCUAGAGUCCGGAAGAGGCGAGUGGAAUUCCUGGUGUAGCGGUGAAAUGCGCAGAUAUCAGGAAGAACACCCGUGGCUAAGGCGGCUCUCUAGUACGGUACUGACGCUGAGACGCGAAAGCGUGGGGAGCGAACAGG
RNAcentral lists this ribosomal RNA (253 nucleotides) under uncultured bacterium. RNAcentral describes it as "partial 16S ribosomal RNA". It matches the Rfam family "Bacterial small subunit ribosomal RNA", at positions 524 to 776 of the family's 1533-position model. The record is from RNAcentral.